RNAcentral lists this ribosomal RNA (375 nucleotides) under uncultured Glomeromycotina. Its description in RNAcentral is "LSU rRNA". The record is from RNAcentral. Lineage: Eukaryota; Fungi; Glomeromycota.
UUGAAAGGGAAACGAUUGAAGUNNGUCGNACUGAGGGGGAAUCAACUUCUCGAGUGCUUGUUUUGAAUGACGUUGAGCUUCACGGCCUUCGUUGCUUGCGUUAUGGUGCUUUUGAGGUGUACUUUUCCGUAUGGUAAGUCAACAUCGAUUUUGAUCGUCAUAAAAUGAUCGGAGGAAUGUGGCUCUGAUCUUGUAUUGGAGUGUUAUAGCCUUUGAUAGAUGUGACGAUUGGGAUCGAGGAUUGCAACGAAUACCCUUCUGGGCUAUCCGUCUGACCUCUGAAAGUCGCUCGGGUGUCGAAAGCGUGCUUAUGACAUUCUAGUUUGGCGGUCAAAAGGUUAGAACGUGAUUACAUUCGUUAAGGAUGUUGACGUA